UACACUCCUGCGGGAGGCAGCAGUGGGGAAUAUUGGACAAUGGGCGCAAGCCUGAUCCAGCCAUGCCGCGUGAGUGAUGAAGGCCCUAGGGUUGUAAAGCUCUUUCACCGGUGAAGAUAAUGACGGUAACCGGAGAAGAAGCCCCGGCUAACUUCGUGCCAGCAGCCGCGGUAAUACGAAGGGGGCUAGCGUUGUUCGGAUUUACUGGGCGUAAAGCGCACGUAGGCGGACUAUUAAGUCAGGGGUGAAAUCCCGGGGCUCAACCCCGGAACUGCCUUUGAUACUGGUAGUCUUGAGUUCGAGAGAGGUGAGUGGAAUUCCGAGUGUAGAGGUGAAAUUCGUAGAUAUUCGGAGGAACACCAGUGGCGAAGGCGGCUCACUGGCUCGAUACUGACGCUGAGGUGCGAAAGCGUGGGGGGCAAACAGGAUUAGAAACCCUUGUAGUCCCAUGA
Molecule: ribosomal RNA, 452 nt
Filed under: uncultured organism
Description: partial 16S ribosomal RNA
Rfam family: Bacterial small subunit ribosomal RNA
Source: RNAcentral